This 228-nucleotide ribosomal RNA is filed under the name uncultured bacterium. RNAcentral describes it as "partial 16S ribosomal RNA". It matches the Rfam family "Bacterial small subunit ribosomal RNA", at positions 104 to 334 of the family's 1533-position model. The record is from RNAcentral.
CGGGGUGAGUAAUGUCUGGGAAACUGCCUGAUGGAGGGGGAUAACUACUGGAAGCGGUAGCUAAUACCGCAUAACGUCGCAAGACCAAAGAGGGGGACCUUCGGGCCUCUUGCCAUCGGAUGUGCCCAGAUGGGAUUAGCUAGUAGGUGGGUAACGGCUCACCUAGGCGACGAUCCCUAGCUGGUCUGAGAGGAUGACCAGCCACACUGGAACUGAGACACGGUCCAG